This 980-nucleotide ribosomal RNA is filed under the name Bacillus sonorensis. RNAcentral's name for it is "bacterial SSU rRNA". It matches the Rfam family "Bacterial small subunit ribosomal RNA", at positions 56 to 995 of the family's 1533-position model. Lineage: Bacteria; Bacillati; Bacillota; Bacilli; Caryophanales; Bacillaceae. The record is from RNAcentral.
UGCAGUCGAGCGGACCGACGGGAGCUUGCUCCCUUAGGUUAGCGGCGGACGGGUGAGUAACACGUGGGUAACCUGCCUGUAAGACUGGGAUAACUCCGGGAAACCGGGGCUAAUACCGGAUGCUUGAUUGAACCGCAUGGUUCAAUUAUAAAAGGUGGCUUUUAGCUACCACUUACAAAUGGACCCGCGGCGCAUUAGCUAGUUGGUGAGGUAACGGCUCACCAAGGCAACGAUGCGUAGCCAACCUGAAAGGGUGAUCGGCCACACUGGGACUGAAACACGGCCCAAACUCCUACGGGAGGCAGCAGUAGGGAAUCUUCCGCAAUGGACGAAAGUCUGACGGAGCAACGCCCCGUGAGUGAUGAAGGUUUUCGGAUCGUAAAACUCUUUUGUUAGGGAAAAACAAGUACCGUUCAAAUAGGGCGGUACCUUGACGGUACCUAACCAAAAAGCCACGGCUAACUACGUGCCACCAGCCGCGGUAAUACGUAGGUGGCAAGCGUUGUCCGGAAUUAUUGGGCGUAAAGCGCGCGCAGGCGGUUUCUUAAGUCUGAUGUGAAAGCCCCCGGCUCAACCGGGAAGGGUCAUUGGAAACUGGGGAACUUGAGUGCAAAAAAGGAAAGUGGAAUUCCACGUGUAGCGGUAAAAUGCGUAAAGAUGUGGAGGAACACCAGUGGCGAAGGCAACUCUCUGGUCUGUAACUGACGCUAAGGCGCGAAAGCGUGGGGGAGCGAACAGGAUUAGAUACCCCUGGUAGUCCACGCCGUAAACAAUAAGGGCUAAGUGUUAAAAGGGUUUCCGCCCCUUUAGUGCUGCAGCAAAACGCAUUAAGCCACUCCGCCCUGGGGAAGUACGGUCCGCAAAGACUGAAAACUCAAAGGAAUUUGAACGGGGGCCCGCCACAAGCGGUGGAACCAUGGUGGUUUAAUUCCAAAGCAACCGCGAAAAAACCUUUACCAAGGUCUUGGACAUCCUUCUGA